GGGCUCACACAAGCGGUGGAGGAUGUGGCUUAAUUCGAGGCUACGCGAAGAACCUUAUCCUAGUCUUGACAUGCUUAAGAACCUCUCUGAAAGGAGAGGGUGCCUUCGGGAACUUUUGCACAGGUGCUGCAUGGCUGUCGUCAGCUCGUGUCGUGAGAUGUCGGGUUAAGUCCCUUAACGAGCGAAACCCUUGUCUCUAGUUGCCAGCGAGUUAUGUCGGGGACUCUAGAGAGACUGCCGGUGUUAAACCGGAGGAAGGUGGGGAUGACGUCAAGUCCUCAUGGCCUUUAUGACUAGGGCUGCACACGUCCUACAAUGCGGCAUACAAAGGGAAGCAAACCCGCGAGGGGGAGCAAACCCCAAAAAGUGUCGCUCAGUUCGGAUUGCAGGCUGCAACUCGCCUGCAUGAAGUUGGAAUCGCUAGUAAUCGCGGGUCAGCAUACCGCGGUGAAUGUGUUCCUGAGCCUU
Molecule: ribosomal RNA, 468 nt
Filed under: uncultured bacterium
Lineage: Bacteria
Description: bacterial SSU rRNA
Rfam family: Bacterial small subunit ribosomal RNA
Source: RNAcentral